Molecule: ribosomal RNA, 114 nt
Filed under: Clostridioides difficile
Lineage: Bacteria; Bacillati; Bacillota; Clostridia; Peptostreptococcales; Peptostreptococcaceae
Source: RNAcentral
UGUGGUUACAAUAGCAGAGAGGAUACACCUGUUCCCAUUCCGAACACAGAAGUUAAGCUCUCUAGCGCUGAUGGUACUUGGUGGGAAACUGGUAAUCUUUUUUUGUUGUAUUAA